RNAcentral lists this signal recognition particle RNA (148 nucleotides) under Nomascus leucogenys (northern white-cheeked gibbon). RNAcentral's name for it is "Metazoan signal recognition particle RNA". It matches the Rfam family "Metazoan signal recognition particle RNA". Rfam says of the family: The signal recognition particle (SRP) is a universally conserved ribonucleoprotein. It is involved in the co-translational targeting of proteins to membranes. The record is from Rfam by way of RNAcentral. Lineage: Eukaryota; Metazoa; Chordata; Mammalia; Primates; Hylobatidae.
GCUGGGCAUGGUGGUGCAUGCCCGUAAUCCCAGCUACUCGGGAGGCUGAGGCAGGAGUAUCACUUGAACCCAGGAGGCAGAGAUUGCAGUGAGCCGAGAUUGCGCCACUGCACUCCAGCCUGGGUGACAGAGUGAGACUCUGUCUCAA